This 462-nucleotide ribosomal RNA is filed under the name Salmonella enterica. RNAcentral's name for it is "partial 16S ribosomal RNA". It matches the Rfam family "Bacterial small subunit ribosomal RNA", at positions 1050 to 1512 of the family's 1533-position model. RNAcentral also lists the same sequence under 1 other name. Lineage: Bacteria; Pseudomonadati; Pseudomonadota; Gammaproteobacteria; Enterobacterales; Enterobacteriaceae. The record is from RNAcentral.
UGUCGUCAGCUCGUGUUGUGAAAUGUUGGGUUAAGUCCCGCAACGAGCGCAACCCUUAUCCUUUGUUGCCAGCGAUUAGGUCGGGAACUCAAAGGAGACUGCCAGUGAUAAACUGGAGGAAGGUGGGGAUGACGUCAAGUCAUCAUGGCCCUUACGACCAGGGCUACACACGUGCUACAAUGGCGCAUACAAAGAGAAGCGACCUCGCGAGAGCAAGCGGACCUCAUAAAGUGCGUCGUAGUCCGGAUUGGAGUCUGCAACUCGACUCCAUGAAGUCGGAAUCGCUAGUAAUCGUGGAUCAGAAUGCCACGGUGAAUACGUUCCCGGGCCUUGUACACACCGCCCGUCACACCAUGGGAGUGGGUUGCAAAAGAAGUAGGUAGCUUAACCUUCGGGAGGGCGCUUACCACUUUGUGAUUCAUGACUGGGGUGAAGUCGUAACAAGGUAACCGUAGGGGAACC